UGGGGGAUAUUGCACAAUGGGCGAAAGCCUGAUGCAGCGACGCCGCGUGGGGGAUGAAGGCCUUCGGGUUGUAAACUUCUUUUGCUCUGAACAAGGCAUGCUAAUGGGUGUGUUGAGUGUAGGGGUUGAUUAGCGCCGGCUAACUACGUGCCAGCAGCCGCGGUAAUACGUAGGGCGCGAGCGUUGUCCGGAAUUAUUGGGCGUAAAGGGCUUGUAGGUGGCUGGUUGCGUCUGUCGUGAAAUCUCAUGGCUUAACUGUGGGUUUGCGGUGGGUACGGGCUGGCUUGAGUGCAGUAGGGGAGGCUGGAAUUCCUGGUGUAGCGGUGGAAUGCGCAGAUAUCAGGAGGAAUACCGGUGGCGAAGGCGGGUCUCUGGGCUGUUACUGACACUGAGGAGCGAAAGCAUGGGGAGCGAACAGG
RNAcentral lists this ribosomal RNA (419 nucleotides) under bacterium. RNAcentral describes it as "partial 16S ribosomal RNA". It matches the Rfam family "Bacterial small subunit ribosomal RNA", at positions 355 to 776 of the family's 1533-position model. The record is from RNAcentral.